AAAAAAGAGCUUUGACGGGUUGUAGCUGGCCUUCCGAGGCAUGUGCACGCCCUGCUCAUCCACUCUACACCUGUGCACUUACUGUGGGUCUCAGGCGAGCGUCGUCGCUUCGCGGCGUCGGCGUUCAAAUGGGCUCACGUUUUACUACAAACUAUUGAAGUAUCAGAAUGUGUAUUGCGAUGUAACGCAUCUAUAUACAACUUUCAGCAACGGAUCUCUUGGCUCUCGCAUCGAUGAAGAACGCAGCGAAAUGCGAUAAGUAAUGUGAAUUGCAGAAUUCAGUGAAUCAUCGAAUCUUUGAACGCACCUUGCGCUCCUUGGUAUUCCGAGGAGCAUGCCUGUUUGAGUGUCAUGAAAUUCUCAACCUAACGAGUCUUUGCGGGCUUGGUAGGAUUGGACUUGGAGGUUCUUGUCGGCCUGCUUUACCGGGUUCGGGCUCCUCUCAAAUGCAUUAUCGUGGUUCCUUGCAGAUCGGCUCAGGGUGUGAUAAUUGUCUACCCCGCGACCGAGAAGCGUGUGGACGAGCUUCUAAUCCUUCUCGCUAGAGACAGUACACUUAAGACCUCAGACCUCAAAUCGUGUAAGACUACCCUCUGAACUUAAGCAUAUCAUAAGGCGGAAGAAUUUUCGCGAGUUUUGAAAGGGUUGUAGCUCGUUCUCCGAGGCGUGUGCACGCUGUGCUCAUCUCUCUCACGGGGACAUCAGGGGGGGGUCAGAGGAAAGCGUUCUCUCUUCGGGGGGCGGUACUAAGGGGGCUCUUUUUAUACAACAAAUAGAGAGAUAUCAAAGGGUGUUAUGGGGAUUUAACGCCUCUUUUAUACACUUUCGCACGGAUCUUGGGCUCUGCCUCGUAAAAAACGCGCGAAUGCGAUAGUAAUGUGAAUUGCAAAAUAGUGAUAUCUCAACUUUGACCACUGCGCUCCGGGUAUUCGAGGAGAGCGUUUGGAGUGUAGAUUACAACUAACGAGCUUCGGCCUGCAGAUGACUGGAGAGGUAUAGUGGCUGAUAGGGUUCGCUCCUCAUGCUAGCUGUUCGUGUAUCGCAGGGGAUAUUGUCACCGCACGAAGUGGCACUUACUCUGUGAUACUUAUCUAAAUGGGGAACAGUAAUAAAUGGGAGAGAA
This 1123-nucleotide ribosomal RNA is filed under the name Hexagonia tenuis. RNAcentral's name for it is "eukaryotic LSU rRNA". The stretch from base 199 to 352 matches the Rfam family "5.8S ribosomal RNA". The record is from RNAcentral. Lineage: Eukaryota; Fungi; Basidiomycota; Agaricomycetes; Polyporales; Polyporaceae.